RNAcentral lists this ribosomal RNA (456 nucleotides) under uncultured bacterium. RNAcentral's name for it is "bacterial SSU rRNA". It matches the Rfam family "Bacterial small subunit ribosomal RNA", at positions 340 to 789 of the family's 1533-position model. The record is from RNAcentral.
UACGGAAGGCAGCAGUGGGGAAUAUUGCACAAUGGGCGCAAGCCUGAUGCAGCCAUGCCGCGUGUAUGAAAAAGGCCUUCGGGUUGUAAAGUACUUUCAGUCGUGAGGAAGGUGUUAAGGUUAAUAACCUUAGCAAUUGACGUUAGCGACAGAAGAAGCACCGGCUAACUCCGUGCCAGCAGCCGCGGUAAUACGGAGGGUGCGAGCGUUAAUCGGAAUUACUGGGCGUAAAGGGCACGCAGGCGGUUAAUUAAGUUGGAUGUGAAAUCCCCGGGCUUAACCUGGGAAUGGCAUUCAAGACUGGUUAGCUAGAGUCUUGUAGAGGGGGUUAGAAUUCCAUGUGUAGCGGUGAAAUGCGUAGAGAUGUGGAGGAAUACCGGUGGCGAAGGCGGCCCCUGGACAAAGACUGACGCUCAUGUGCGAAAGCUGGGGAGCAAACAGGGAUUAGAUACCCGU